GACGAACGCUGGCGGCGUGCUUAACACAUGCAAGUCGAACGGAAAGGCCCUGCUCUUGUGGGGUGCUCGAGUGGCGAACGGGUGAGUAACACGUGAGUAACCUGCCCUUGACUUUGGGGUAACUUCAGGGAACUGGGGAUAAUACCGGAUAGGAGCUCCUGCAGCAUGGUGGGGGUUGGAAAGUUUCGGCGGUUGGGGAUGGACUCGCGGCUUAUCAGCUUGUUGGUGGGGUAGUGGCUUACCAAGGCUUUGACGGGUAGCCGGCCUGAGAGGGUGACCGGCCACAUUAGGACUGAGAGACGGCCCAGACGCCAACGGGAGGCAACAGUGGGGAAUAUUGCACAGUGGGCGGGAGCCUGAUGCAGCAGCGCCGCGUGCGGGAUGACGGCCUUCGGGUUGUGAACCGCUUUCGCCUGUGACGAAGCGUGAGUGACGGUAAUGGGUAAAGAAGCACCGGCUAACUACGUG
RNAcentral lists this ribosomal RNA (468 nucleotides) under uncultured bacterium. RNAcentral's name for it is "partial 16S ribosomal RNA". It matches the Rfam family "Bacterial small subunit ribosomal RNA", at positions 28 to 507 of the family's 1533-position model. The record is from RNAcentral.